UGAGGAAUAUUGGACAAUGGAUGGAAAUCUGAUCCAGCCAUGCCGCGUGCAGGAAGAAUGUCCUAUGGAUUGUAAACUGCUUUUGUAUGGGAGCAAUAAGGUCUUCGUGAAGGCCGAUGAGAGUACCAUACGAAUAAGCACCGGCUAACUCCGUGCCAGCAGCCGCGGUAAUACGGAGGGUGCAAGCGUUAUCCGGAUUUAUUGGGUUUAAAGGGUGCGUAGGCGGUUAUAUAAGUCAGCGGUGAAAUUUUUCGGCUCAACCGGAAACAUGCCGUUGAUACUGUAUAGCUUGAAUAUGGUUGCUGUGAGUGGAAUGUGUAGUGUAGCGGUGAAAUGCUUAGAUAUUACACAGAAUAUCGAUUGCGAAGGCAACUCACAAAGCCAUUAUUGACGCUGAGGC
Molecule: ribosomal RNA, 400 nt
Filed under: uncultured bacterium
Lineage: Bacteria
Description: bacterial SSU rRNA
Rfam family: Bacterial small subunit ribosomal RNA
Source: RNAcentral